This 1027-nucleotide long non-coding RNA is filed under the name Mytilus galloprovincialis (Mediterranean mussel). Lineage: Eukaryota; Metazoa; Mollusca; Bivalvia; Mytilida; Mytilidae. The record is from RNAcentral.
AAACAAAAGAACACCAUUUUACCACCUGGAAGGAAGGUACAUCCUCGGAUAUUUGUCAACGAAUCUUGUAUUUUUUGUUUCAACCUGAGUGUAAUGCUAUCAAAAUUUCUUGUAGAUUGUGCUACAAUUAUUUGAGCUUGUUGAAACUUUCUCUUUAGGAUGGUUAUAUUACAUGGACUUGAAUUCACUAAAACAUCUCCAAACUUCUUCAUGCUGGCGGUAAAUGUUUGCAAUGAUGUAUCAACGCUGCAAGUUAUAUCGAUUUGAUUCGCAUGUUCCUCUUUGAUAAUCGACUGUAUAAAGUGAUCUUCGUUUGCGACAUACUUUUCUAUUUGUUUUAAAGUCAAAAAUGAUUGGUACUCCGAGGCAUACUGUUUUGUAUUUUCAAAAUGACCUUGGUAUUCGAAGAUCUCUUUUUCUUUCUGUAUCAAUGAACUCAAAAGUUGGCGGAUCUUAUUACUUUCUCUUUCCUCAACCGUCUUUAGUUCACCCAUUAUAUCAUCCUGAAGUUUAUCUAGACGUUCAUUUAUCAUGGUCCGAAUAUCUUGAAUUUGAAUUUCAAUUGCCUUUCUCUUUUCUCGAAUUGAUGCCAGAUUUUCCUCUCGAUUGAUGCGUAUUCUUUUGAAAUUGUCGGCAACUUCUGAUAAGGUGUGGUCUAUUUCCAGAAAUGCUGCAGAAGAUUUGAUAUUCCCUAUCAUGUUAUUUAUGUCAGUUAAAUCUUUACACUUAUUGUGCAUCUCUACACAUUGCUUACAGCAUGGAGAAUCAUGUUUCCUACGGAAAAGUUCAUAUUUCUCGUUAUGAAUUUGGCAGAACUGAGCUACUCGCAAGACCUCGGCUGGUAGCUUUGUGUAUUUGGCGAUGGGAACUGUUUCAUGAUUUGUUGUUGCGUUCGAAAGGCUGUGAUGUUCUCUAUAAUCUUCACAUAGUCCUUCAUUGCAUUCUGAACACCAGACUACUGAUGGUUUAGUAAUUUUGCGUUGGUUACAUACACUACAACCAAUUAGUUUACUGGCCAUGAUUCUGU